This 507-nucleotide ribosomal RNA is filed under the name uncultured bacterium. Its description in RNAcentral is "partial 16S ribosomal RNA". The record is from RNAcentral.
GGAGUUAGCCGGUGCUUCUUCUGUGAGUGAUGUCCUUCCUGCCGGCUAUUAACCCGCAGGCCUUCUUCCUCACUGAAAGUGCUUUACAACCCGAAGGCCUUCUUCACACACGCGGCAUGGCUGGAUCAGGGUUGCCCCCAUUGUCCAAUAUUCCCCACUGCUGCCUCCCGUAGGAGUCUGGGCCGUGUCUCAGUCCCAGUGUGGCUGAUCAUCCUCUCAGACCAGCUACGGAUAGUCGCCUUGGUGAGCCGUUACCUCACCAACCAGCUAAUCCGACAUAGGCUCAUCCGAUAGCGCGAGGCCCGAAGGUCCCCCGCUUUCCCCCGUAGGGCGUAUGCGGUAUUAGCCUGGGUUUCCCCAGGUUAUCCCCCACUACCGGGCAGAUUCCUAUGCAUUACUCACCCGUCCGCCGCUCGCCACCAGGGAGCAAGCUCCCCGUGCUGCCGCUCGACUUGCAUGUGUUAGGCCUGCCGCCAGCGUUCAAUCUGAGCCAUAAUCAAACUCUGA